UGCGCAGGCGGUUCUGCAAGUCAGAUGUGAAAUCCCCGGGCUUAACCUGGGAACUGCGUUUGAAACUACGGAGCUAGAGUGCGGCAGAGGGGGGUGGAAUUCCACGUGUAGCAGUGAAAUGCGUAGAUAUGUGGAGGAACACCGAUGGCGAAGGCAGCCCCCUGGGCCGACACUGACGCUCAGGCACGAAAGCGUGGGGAGCAAACAGGAUUAGAUACCCUGGUAGUCCACGCCCUAAACUAUGUCAACUAGUUGUCGGGAAAGCAAUUUCUUGGUAACGAAGCUAACGCGUGAAGUUGACCGCCUGGGGAUACGGUCGCAAGAUUAAA
This 329-nucleotide ribosomal RNA is filed under the name uncultured bacterium. RNAcentral describes it as "bacterial SSU rRNA". It matches the Rfam family "Bacterial small subunit ribosomal RNA", at positions 568 to 898 of the family's 1533-position model. The record is from RNAcentral.